This 507-nucleotide ribosomal RNA is filed under the name uncultured bacterium. RNAcentral's name for it is "bacterial SSU rRNA". It matches the Rfam family "Bacterial small subunit ribosomal RNA", at positions 15 to 518 of the family's 1533-position model. The record is from RNAcentral.
GAUUCUGGCUCAGGAUGAACGCUGGCGGCGUGCCUAACACAUGCAAGUCGAACGAAGCACUGGAGAACGGAGAUUCGUCAAAGUUUCCUUUGACUGAGUGGCGAACGGGUGAGUAAUGCGUGAGCAACCUGCCCUUCAGAGGGGGACAACAGUUGGAAACGACUGCUAAUACCGCAUGAUGUAUUUGGGUGGCAUCAUCUGAAUACCAAAGGAGAAAUCCGCUGAGGGAUGGGCUCACGUCUGAUUAGCUAGUUGUAGGGUAACGGCCUACCAAGGCUGCGAUCAGUAGCCGGACUGAGAGGUUGAACGGCCACAUUGGGACUGAGAUACGGCCCAGACUCCUACGGGAGGCAGCAGUGGGGAAUAUUGGGCAAUGGGCCGAAAGCCUGACCCAGCAACGCCGCGUGAAGGAAGAAGGCCUUCGGGUUGUAAACUUCUUUUAUGAGGGACGAAGGACGUGACGGUACCUCAUGAAUAAGCCACGGCUAACUACGUGCCAGCCGCCGC